This 77-nucleotide transfer RNA is filed under the name Fluviicola sp. XM-24bin1. RNAcentral describes it as "tRNA-Asn". It matches the Rfam family "tRNA". From Rfam's summary of the family: Transfer RNA (tRNA) molecules are approximately 80 nucleotides in length. Their secondary structure includes four short double-helical elements and three loops (D, anti-codon, and T loops). Lineage: Bacteria; Pseudomonadati; Bacteroidota; Flavobacteriia; Flavobacteriales; Crocinitomicaceae. The record is from RNAcentral.
GCUUCUUUAGCUCAGUUGGUUAGAGCAUCUGACUGUUAAUCAGAGGGUCCCUGGUUCGAGCCCAGGAAGGAGCGCUA